CCAUGAACAACGCUAAUUCCAACAUUCUAAUUUGUUCCGUGCGGUUUGAGAGGUUCCCUUCUGUUUCGACAGUUGUGUAGGACCCAGGACCAAAAUCGCAGGGUACAGAAUGGAGAGCGACGAAGCUUUUUCGACGCUCAAUCUUGGGUGCGGUUCUCCCCUUUUUCUCGAUGGGGAGGGUCGCAAUGAUUGAACGUACAU
This 201-nucleotide small RNA is filed under the name Thermochaetoides thermophila DSM 1495. RNAcentral's name for it is "Chaetomium thermophilum var. thermophilum DSM 1495 A. fumigatus sRNA Afu_182". It matches the Rfam family "A. fumigatus sRNA Afu_182". The record is from Rfam by way of RNAcentral. Lineage: Eukaryota; Fungi; Ascomycota; Sordariomycetes; Sordariales; Chaetomiaceae.